This 519-nucleotide ribosomal RNA is filed under the name uncultured eukaryote. Its description in RNAcentral is "SSU rRNA". It matches the Rfam family "Eukaryotic small subunit ribosomal RNA", at positions 1161 to 1699 of the family's 1831-position model. The record is from RNAcentral.
AGGGCACCACCAGGAGUGGAGCCUGCGGCUUAAUUUGACUCAACACGGGAAAACUCACCCGGCCCGGACACUGAAAGGAUUGACAGAUUGAGAGCUCUUUCUUGAUUCAGUGGGUGGUGGUGCAUGGCCGUUCUUAGUUGGUGGAGUGAUUUGUCUGGUUAAUUCCGAUAACGAACGAGACUCUAGCCUACUAAAUAGAUCGUCGGCUUACAAACGCCGGCGAGACUUCUUAGAGGGACAGGCGGUGAUUCAACCGCACGAAACAGAGCAAUAACAGGUCUGUGAUGCCCUUAGAUGUCCGGGGCCGCACGCGCGCUACACUGAAGUGAUCAGCGUGCUUUUUCAACCUACUCUGUCAAGAGUGGGGAACCCAAUGAACCUUCUUCGUGAUUGGGAUAGGGGAUUGUAAUUAUUCCCCUUGAACGAGGAAUUCCCAGUAAGCGCGAGUCAUAAGCUCGCGUUGAUUACGUCCCUGCCCUUUGUACACACCGCCCGUCGCUACUACCGAUUGAAUGUUUU